RNAcentral lists this transfer RNA (77 nucleotides) under Bacillota bacterium. RNAcentral's name for it is "tRNA-Arg". It matches the Rfam family "tRNA". From Rfam's summary of the family: Transfer RNA (tRNA) molecules are approximately 80 nucleotides in length. Their secondary structure includes four short double-helical elements and three loops (D, anti-codon, and T loops). Further hydrogen bonds mediate the characteristic L-shaped molecular structure. tRNAs have two regions of fundamental functional importance: the anti-codon, which is responsible for specific mRNA codon recognition, and the 3' end, to which the tRNAs corresponding amino acid is attached (by aminoacyl-tRNA synthetases). tRNAs cope with the degeneracy of the genetic code in two manners: having more than one tRNA (with a specific anti-codon) for a particular amino acid; and 'wobble' base-pairing, i.e. permitting non-standard base-pairing at the 3rd anti-codon position. RNAcentral also lists the same sequence under 9 other names. The record is from RNAcentral. Lineage: Bacteria; Bacillati; Bacillota.
GCCUCGGUAGCUCAGUUGGAUAGAGCGACUGCCUCCUAAGCAGUAGGCCGCUGGUUCAAGCCCAGUCCGGGGUGCCA